RNAcentral lists this ribosomal RNA (450 nucleotides) under uncultured bacterium. RNAcentral's name for it is "bacterial SSU rRNA". It matches the Rfam family "Bacterial small subunit ribosomal RNA", at positions 874 to 1283 of the family's 1533-position model. The record is from RNAcentral.
UUUAAGACAUCUCCCGCUUUGGGGAGUACGUGUCGCAAGAGUUAAAACUCCAAAGGAAUUGACGGGGGCCCGCACAAGCGGUGGAGCAUGUGGUUAAUUCGUAGCAACGCGCAGAACCUUACCACCUUUUGACAUGCCCGGACCGCCGCAGAGAUGCGGCUUUCCCUUCGGGGACUGGACACAGGUGCUGCAUGGCUGUCGUCAGCUCGUGUCGUGAGAUGUUGGGUUAAGUCCCGCAACGAGCGCGACCCUCGCUAGUUGGUGCCACUAGGCUUGGCAGGGCACGUUAUAGAGGGACCCGCCCGGGUGGUGAAGCCCGGGAGGGAAUGAUGGGUGANGUACGCUUCAAGUUCUGUCAGGCCCGCCACUAGGUGGUGCGACACACGUGCGACUAAUGGCGACUACAGAGGGCGGCUACGCCCGCGAGGGGGGAUGCCAGUCCCAAAACGU